RNAcentral lists this ribosomal RNA (451 nucleotides) under uncultured bacterium. RNAcentral describes it as "bacterial SSU rRNA". It matches the Rfam family "Bacterial small subunit ribosomal RNA", at positions 29 to 524 of the family's 1533-position model. The record is from RNAcentral.
AGCGAACGCUGGCGGAAUGCUUAACACAUGCAAGUCGCACGGUCAGCAAUGGCAGUGGCGGACGGGUGAGUAACGCGUAGGAAUAUGUCCAGAGGUGGGGGACAACCCCGGGAAACUGGGGCUAAUACCGCAUAUGAGCUGAGGCUCAAAGCAGUGAUGCGCCUUUGGAGUAGCCUGCGUCCGAUUAGCUUGUUGGUGGGGUAAAGGCUUACCAAGGCGACGAUCGGUAGCUGGUCUGAGAGGACGACCAGCCACACUGGGACUGAGACACGGCCCAGACUCCUACGGGAGGCAGCAGUGGGGAAUAUUGGACAAUGGCGCAAGCCUGAUCCAGCAAUUCCGCGUGGGUGAAGAAGGUCUUCGGAUUGUAAAGCCCUUUUCGACGGGGGACGAUGAUGACGGUACCCGUAGAAGAAGCCCCGGCUAACUUCGUGCCAGCCGCCGCGGUAAC